This 274-nucleotide ribosomal RNA is filed under the name uncultured bacterium. Its description in RNAcentral is "partial 16S ribosomal RNA". It matches the Rfam family "Bacterial small subunit ribosomal RNA", at positions 523 to 796 of the family's 1533-position model. The record is from RNAcentral.
AUACGGAGGGUGCAAGCGUUAUCCGGAUUCAUUGGGUUUAAAGGGUGCGCAGGCGGAUAUUUAAGUCAGUGGUGAAAUCCCGGGGCUCAACCUCGGAACUGCCAUUGAUACUGAAUAUCUGGAAUACGGUUGAAGUGGGCGGAAUGUAGCAUGUAGCGGUGAAAUGCAUAGAGAUGCUACAGAACACCGAUCGCGUAGGCAGCUCACUAAGCCGAUAUUGACGCUCAGGCACGAAAGCGUGGGGAGCAAACGGGAUUAGAUACCCCAGUAGUCC